Molecule: ribosomal RNA, 460 nt
Filed under: uncultured bacterium
Lineage: Bacteria
Description: partial 16S ribosomal RNA
Rfam family: Bacterial small subunit ribosomal RNA
Source: RNAcentral
CCUACGGGCGGCUGCAGUGAGGAAUAUUGGUCAAUGGACGAGAGUCUGAACCAGCCAAGUAGCGUGAAGGAUGACUGCCCUCUGGGUUGUAAACUUCUUUUAUAUGGGAAUAAAAUGUUCCACGUGUGGGUUUUUGUAUGUACCAUAUGAAUAAGGAUCGGCUAACUCCGUUCCAGCAGCCGCGGUAAUACGGCGGGUCCGAGCGUUAUCCGGAUUUAUUGGGUGUAAAGGGAGCGUAGGUGGAUUGUUAAGUCAGUUGUGAAAGUUUGCGGCUCAACCGUAAAAUUGCAGUUGAAACUGGCAGUCUUGAGUACAGUAGAGGUGGGCGGAAUUCGUGGUGUAGCGGUGAAAUGCUUAGAUAUCACGAAGAACUCCGAUUGCGAAGGCAGCUCACUGGACUGCAACUGACACUGAGGCUCGAAAGUGUGGGUAUCGAACAGGAUUAGAUACCCGGGUAGUC